CACCUCUCAGGGUCGCAUCUGGAGGGUUUCCAGUCCUCUACCAGUCUCGACUAUGAGAGGGAGAGACAAGUGGAGGCCUACCUAUUCCAUUCCUAGCUUGGCCAGUUGCUAGUGAGUGGCAGGCAAUCUGCUACAAGU
Tachyglossus aculeatus (Australian echidna) is the source of this 138-nucleotide small nucleolar RNA. Lineage: Eukaryota; Metazoa; Chordata; Mammalia; Monotremata; Tachyglossidae. The record is from RefSeq and is a predicted model, not a curated record.